AAUUUUGGACAAUGGGCGAAAGCCUGAUCCAGCCAUGCCGCGUGCAGGAUGAAGGCCUUUGGGUUGUAAACUGCUUUUGUACGGAACGAAAAGCCUCUUUCUAAUAAAGAGGGGUCAUGACGGUACCGUAAGAAUAAGCACCGGCUAACUACGUGCCAGCAGCCGCGGUAAUACGUAGGGUGCAAGCGUUAAUCGGAAUUACUGGGCGUAAAGCGUGCGCAGGCGGUUUUGUAAGACAGAGGUGAAAUCCCCGGGCUCAACCUGGGAACUGCCUUUGUGACUGCAAGGCUGGAGUGCGGCAGAGGGGGAUGGAAUUCCGCGUGUAGCAGUGAAAUGCGUAGAUAUGCGGAGGAACACCGAUGGCGAAGGCAAUCCCCUGGGCCUGCACUGACGCUCAUGCACGAAAGCGUGGGGAGCAA
This 419-nucleotide ribosomal RNA is filed under the name uncultured Diaphorobacter sp. RNAcentral describes it as "bacterial SSU rRNA". It matches the Rfam family "Bacterial small subunit ribosomal RNA", at positions 360 to 771 of the family's 1533-position model. Lineage: Bacteria; Pseudomonadati; Pseudomonadota; Betaproteobacteria; Burkholderiales; Comamonadaceae. The record is from RNAcentral.